Molecule: ribosomal RNA, 397 nt
Filed under: uncultured bacterium
Lineage: Bacteria
Description: partial 16S ribosomal RNA
Rfam family: Bacterial small subunit ribosomal RNA
Source: RNAcentral
AUACGUAGGUGACAAGCGUUAUCCGGAUUUACUGGGCGUAAAGGGCGUGUAGGCGGUCUUGCAAGUCAGAAGUGAAAUUCCUGAGCUCAACUCGGGCGCUGCUUCUGAAACUGCAGGACUUGAGUGCUGGAGGGGAUAGCGGAAUUCCUAGUGGAGCGGUAAAAUGCGCAGAUAUUAGGAAGAACACCGGUGGCGAAGGCGGCAAACUGGACAGUAACGGACGCUGAGGCGCGAAAGCGUGGGGAGCAAACAGGAUUAGAUCCCCUGGUAGUCCACGCCGUAAACGAUGAAUGCUAGGUGUAGGAGGUAUCGACCCCUUCUGUGCCGUAGUCAACACACUAAGCAUUCCGCCUGGGGAGUACGGUCGCAAGAUUAAAACUCAAAGGAAUUGACGGGG